This 312-nucleotide ribosomal RNA is filed under the name uncultured bacterium. RNAcentral's name for it is "bacterial SSU rRNA". It matches the Rfam family "Bacterial small subunit ribosomal RNA", at positions 28 to 325 of the family's 1533-position model. The record is from RNAcentral.
GGCGAACGCUGGCGGCGUGUCUGACACAUGCAAGUUGAGCGGGCAUCAAGUAGGGGCAACUCUGCAGGGUGCUAGCAGCGAACGGCUGAGUAACACGUGAGUAACCUGCCCAAAGAUCGGGACAACCAUCCGAAAGGGUGGCUAAUACCGGAUAUGUUUCCGAGGUGGAAAUCUUCGGAAGGAAAGGUGGGGCAACCUACCGCUUUGGGAGGGGCUCGCGGCCUAUCAGGUAGGUUAGGCGGGGUAACGGCCCACCAAGCCUACGACGGGUAGCCGGUCUGAGAGGACGUCCGGCCAGACUGGGACUGAGAC